UACGGAGGGUGCAAGCGUUGUCCGGAUUUAUUGGGUUUAAAGGGUGCGUAGGCGGUUCUUUAAGUCAGUGGUGAAAGGCUGCAGCUCAACUGUAGCAUUGCCAUUGAUACUGAAGAACUUGAGUACAGACGAGGUAGGCGGAAUUGAUAGUGUAGCGGUGAAAUGCAUAGAUACUAUCAAGAACACCGAUUGCGAAGGCAGCUUACUAGGCUGUAACUGACGCUGAGGCACGAAAGCGUGGGGAGCAAACAGG
RNAcentral lists this unclassified non-coding RNA (253 nucleotides) under uncultured Cytophagales bacterium. Its description in RNAcentral is "contains 16S-23S intergenic spacer region". It matches the Rfam family "Bacterial small subunit ribosomal RNA", at positions 524 to 776 of the family's 1533-position model. Lineage: Bacteria; Pseudomonadati; Bacteroidota; Sphingobacteriia; Sphingobacteriales. The record is from RNAcentral.